RNAcentral lists this ribosomal RNA (1119 nucleotides) under Nosema bombycis. RNAcentral's name for it is "SSU rRNA". It matches the Rfam family "Microsporidia small subunit ribosomal RNA". Lineage: Eukaryota; Fungi; Microsporidia; Nosematidae. The record is from RNAcentral.
CACCAGGUUGAUUCUGCCUGACGUAGACGCUAUACUCUAAGAUUAACCCAUGCAUGUUUAUUGAAUAUAAAGAAAAGACGAACAGCUCAGUAACUCUUAUUUGAUUUGAUGUAUUAGGAUUCUAACUAUGUUAAAUUAUAGGUAACAAUAAUACAAUAAGAAUAAGAUCUAUCAGUUAGUUGUUAAGGUAAUGGCUUAACAAGACUAUGACGGAUAACGGUAUUACUUUGUAAUAUUCCGGAGAAGGAGCCUGAGAGAUUGCUACUAAGUCUAAGGAUUGCAGCAGGGGCGAAACUUGACCUAUGAUAUUAUAUUGAGGCAGUUAUGAGUAGUAUUUUAUAAUUAUUGUAGUAUUGUAAGUACAUAUUACAAGAUAAAUCGGAGGGCAAAUCGAGUGCCAGCAGCCGCGGUAAUACUUGUUCCGAUAGUGUGUAUGAUGAUUGAUGCAGUUAAAAAGUCUGUAGUUUAUUUAUAAUAAGCAUUGUAAGGUAUACUGUAUGGUUAGGAGAGAGAUGAAAUGUGAUAACCCUAACUGGAUGAACAGAAGCGAAAGCUGUAUACUUAAAUGUAUUAUUAGAACAAGGACGUAAGCUAGAGGAUCGAAGAUGAUUAGAUACCAUUGUAGUUCUAGCAGUAAACUAUGUUGAAUCAUAGAUAUAUUUUGAUAUAUAUUUAUGUAGAGAAAUUAAGAUUAUAUUGACUCUGGGGAUAGUAUGAUCGCAAGAUUGAAAAUUAAAGAAAUUGACGGAAGAAUACCACAAGGAGUGGAUUGUGCGGCUUAAUUUGACUCAACGCGGGGUAAUUUACCAGGUAUAACAUGGUAUAAUAUUUUAUCAUGAUAGUGGUGCAUGGCCGUUUCCAAUGGAUGCUGUGAAGUAAUGAUUAAUUUCAACAAGAUGUGAGACCCUCAUUUAGACAGAUGUAGUGAUACAUAUGAAGGAGAGGAUUAAAACAGGUCCGUUAUGCCCUAAGAUAAUCUGGGUUGCACGCGCAAUACAAAAAUAUUUGAUAUUAUAAGGGAUAAUAUAAUGUAAGAUAUAUUUGAACAUGGAAUUGCUAGUAAAUUUUAUUUAAUAAGUAGAAUUGAAUGAGUCCCUGUUCUUUGUACACACCGCCCGU